Molecule: ribosomal RNA, 506 nt
Filed under: bacterium enrichment culture clone ALO1_GLFRUDD03F7ZEF
Lineage: Bacteria
Description: bacterial SSU rRNA
Rfam family: Bacterial small subunit ribosomal RNA
Source: RNAcentral
GAGUUUGAUCAUGGCUCAGAUUGAACGCUGGCGGCAGGCCUAACACAUGCAAGUCGAGCGGAUGACGGGAGCUUGCUCCUUGAUUCAGCGGCGGACGGGUGAGUAAUGCCUAGGAAUCUGCCUGGUAGUGGGGGACAACGUUUCGAAAGGAACGCUAAUACCGCAUACGUCCUACGGGAGAAAGCAGGGAACCUUCGGGCCUUGCGCUAUCAGAUGAGCCUAGGUCGGAUUAGCUAGUUGGUGGGGUAAUGGCUCACCAAGGCGACGAUCCGUAACUGGUCUGAGAGGAUGAUCAGUCACACUGGAACUGAGACACGGUCCAGACUCUACGGAGGCAGCAGUGGGGAAUAUUGGACAAUGGGCGAAAGCCUGAUCCAGCCAUGCCGCGUGUGUGAAGAAGGUCUUCGGAUUGUAAAGCACUUUAAGUUGGGAGGAAGGGCAGUAAGUUAAUACCUUGCUGUUUUGACGUUACGACAGAAUAAGCACCGGCUAAACUCUGUGCCAGC